GCGCAGCAGGCGAGAAUCCUUCGCAAUGCGGGAAACCGCGACGAGGGGACUCCCAGUGCCUACGCUCAGCGUAGGCUGUUCCCGAGCCUAGAAAGCUCGGGGAGUAAGGGCUGGGUAAGACGGGUGCCAGCCGCCGCGGUAAUACCCGCAGCCCGAGUGGUGGCCACUAUUAUUGGGCCUAAAGCGUCCGUAGCCGGCCCGGUAAAUGCCUGGGUAAAUCGUGAGGCCUAACCUCACGAAUUCCGGGUAGACUGCCGGGCUAGGGACCGGAGGAGGGAGAGGGGUACUCCAGGGGUAGGGGUGAAAUCCUGUAAUCCCUGGAGGACCACCGGUGGCGAAGGCGCUCUCCUAGGACGGGUCCGACGGUGAGGGGACG
This 376-nucleotide ribosomal RNA is filed under the name uncultured microorganism. RNAcentral describes it as "bacterial SSU rRNA". It matches the Rfam family "Archaeal small subunit ribosomal RNA", at positions 330 to 706 of the family's 1478-position model. The record is from RNAcentral.